RNAcentral lists this non-coding RNA (29 nucleotides) under Mus musculus (house mouse). The record is from RNAcentral. Lineage: Eukaryota; Metazoa; Chordata; Mammalia; Rodentia; Muridae.
UACAAUAAGAUGCUUCUCUGACCAAGGUU